GACAGGAUGGCCGAGUGGUUUAAGGCGACAGUUUUGAAUUGGUCCUCAUGUCCAGAGAUUCCCCUCUCAACAAGACAGGCUACUACAUUCCAGCUGUUUCACUAUGUGAGCGUGAGUUCAAACCUCACUCCUGUCG
Molecule: transfer RNA, 136 nt
Organism: Puccinia graminis f. sp. tritici
Lineage: Eukaryota; Fungi; Basidiomycota; Pucciniomycetes; Pucciniales; Pucciniaceae
Rfam family: tRNA
About the family: Transfer RNA (tRNA) molecules are approximately 80 nucleotides in length. Their secondary structure includes four short double-helical elements and three loops (D, anti-codon, and T loops). Further hydrogen bonds mediate the characteristic L-shaped molecular structure. tRNAs have two regions of fundamental functional importance: the anti-codon, which is responsible for specific mRNA codon recognition, and the 3' end, to which the tRNAs corresponding amino acid is attached (by aminoacyl-tRNA synthetases). tRNAs cope with the degeneracy of the genetic code in two manners: having more than one tRNA (with a specific anti-codon) for a particular amino acid; and 'wobble' base-pairing, i.e. permitting non-standard base-pairing at the 3rd anti-codon position.
Source: Rfam